This 767-nucleotide ribosomal RNA is filed under the name uncultured bacterium. RNAcentral's name for it is "partial 16S ribosomal RNA". The record is from RNAcentral.
CUGGCAUUCAUCGUUUACGGUGUGGACUACCAGGGUAUCUAAUCCUGUUUGCUCCCCACACUUUCGCACCUCAGCGUCAGUAUCGAGCCAGUGAGCCGCCUUCGCCACUGGUGUUCCUCCGAAUAUCUACGAAUUUCACCUCUACACUCGGAAUUCCACUCACCUCUCUCGAACUCAAGACUAGCAGUAUCAAAGGCAGUUCCGGGGUUGAGCCCCGGGAUUUCACCUCUGACUGACUAGUCCGCCUACGUGCGCUUUACGCCCAGUAAUUCCGAGCAACGCUAACCCCCUCCGUAUUACCGCGGCUGCUGGCACGGAGUUAGCCGGGGUUUCUUUACCAGGUACUGUCAUUAUCAUCCCUGGCGAAAGUGCUUUACGACCCUAAGGCCUUCAUCACACACGCGGCAUGGCUGGAUCAGGCUUGCGCCCAUUGUCCAAGAUUCCCCACUGCUGCCUCCCGUAGGAGUCUGGGCCGUGUCUCAGUCCCAGUGUUGCUGAUCAUCCUCUAAAACCAGCUAUAGAUCGUAGACUUGGUAGGCCAUUACCCCACCAACUAUCUAAUCUAACGCGGGCCGAUCCUUUACCGAUAAAUCUUUCCCCCGAAGGGCGUAUACGGUAUUACCCUCAGUUUCCCGAGACUAUUCCGUAGAAAAGGGUACGUUCCCACGCGUUACUAACCCGUCCGCCGCUCAGUCCCGAAGGACCGCGCUCGACUUGCAUGUGUUAGGCCUGCCGCCAGCGUUCGUUCUGAGCCAGGAUCAAACUCU